This is a long non-coding RNA of Photinus pyralis (common eastern firefly), 315 nucleotides long. RefSeq lists it as uncharacterized. Lineage: Eukaryota; Metazoa; Arthropoda; Insecta; Coleoptera; Lampyridae. The record is from RefSeq and is a predicted model, not a curated record. The transcript is spliced from 3 exons.
GCGAAGCAUCUGGUUAUGGAUAGCGUCUUCUCCCGGUGAACAUGACUUGGUGUUACGGAUUGCUGCCUCCAAUUCUUCUACAGUAAAAGGUUUGGUAUCUAGAAAGGUGUUGGAAUAGUUUGACGAGCUACUGACUUUAUAGAACUGAUCUGCAAUUAUGUUAGUUAUGUCUUGCAGUUUAUUGAUAUAGCUCCGACUUUCUUCCAGACAUCAUUACUGGUAGUCUCUGGUAUUGCAGUAUUUGUUGGAAUUAGUUAAGUUUUUACAUUCAGUCAGGCAAUCAGUUAAUGUUAAUGUUAAGUUUAACCAUACGAC